GACGAACGCUGGCGGCGUGCUUAACACAUGCAAGUCGAACGGAAAGGCCCUGCUUUUGUGGGGUGCUCGAGUGGCGAACGGGUGAGUAACACGUGAGUAACCUGCCCUUGACUUUGGGAUAACUUCAGGAAACUGGGGCUAAUACCGGAUAGGAGCUCCUGCUGCAUGGUGGGGGUUGGAAAGUUUCGGCGGUUGGGGAUGGACUCGCGGCUUAUCAGCUUGUUGGUGGGGUAGUGGCUUACCAAGGCUUUGACGGGUAGCCGGCCUGAGAGGGUGACCGGCGACAUUGGGACUGAGAGACGGCCCAGACGGCUACGGGAGGCAGCAGUGGGGAAUAUUGCACAGUGGGCGGAAGCCUGAUGCAGCGACGCCGCGGGCGGGAUGACGGCCUUCGGGGUGUAAACCGCUUUCGCCUGUGACGAAGCGGGAGUGACGGUAAUGGGUAAAGAAGCACCGGCUAACUACGUG
RNAcentral lists this ribosomal RNA (468 nucleotides) under uncultured bacterium. RNAcentral's name for it is "partial 16S ribosomal RNA". It matches the Rfam family "Bacterial small subunit ribosomal RNA", at positions 28 to 507 of the family's 1533-position model. The record is from RNAcentral.